RNAcentral lists this long non-coding RNA (415 nucleotides) under Mus pahari (shrew mouse). RNAcentral describes it as "lncRNA (MGP_PahariEiJ_G0003181.1)". Lineage: Eukaryota; Metazoa; Chordata; Mammalia; Rodentia; Muridae. The record is from RNAcentral.
GGCAGCUGCACAGAGCGAGGGGGAGCGGCGCGGCCGCCAGCAGUGCGGCCUCCGGGUGCCGCCGCCCUCCCCGGGGAGCCUCGGGGGAUCUCGCCCUGGGAAAACCAUCCCGGGUGACCCCGACCUCCCAGCACGCGGGACGGGCCCGCGCCCGGACUCACCCAGAGGCCGCAGAUUCCCCAGAGUAACAGCUUGUCCCACCUCAAGGCUCUUUGCUUAGGAAGAAAGCAAAGAAUAGAACCUGCAAGAUGGCCUGUUCACUUUCCAAUUCUGGUGGCCUGAGUUUGAUCCCCAAGACCCACAUGGGAGAGGGAUAAAACUGACUUCGGCAUGUUGGCCUCUGACGUCCAUACAUAUCCCUUAGCAUGCGCGUAUCUCUCCUCUCUCGAAAAAUAAGAAAAUGCAAUGAGAGAGA